Long non-coding RNA from Oncorhynchus tshawytscha (Chinook salmon), 2106 nucleotides. The record is from Ensembl. NCBI's taxonomy places the organism in Eukaryota, Metazoa, Chordata, Actinopteri, Salmoniformes, Salmonidae.
GCUGACUUGAAACAUUGUUAACAGUUUCAGGGCCAUGGGCCUUUCUCAUGAUGGAAAAAUACAGAAUGAAUAACAUGAAGACAGGGACUGUGCAAUGAGUUGGGGGGGGCACAUUCAGAACGUAGUGUUGCGAGAACAAACAGUCUUUUGUUAGAUAACAGGAGCCAGGUGCGAGAUAACGGUAUUGAGCAUGAGCGCAUAGAUAUUCUUCACAGCAACAGUUACAUCUAUCAACUGGAGCGCCCGGGGGCCGGGACCAGCUCUGCGCCAACAAUCAACGAUAGGUUGGGUGAGCCUAAACCACGCCCAGUCUCUACUCUGACAGACCGGCUCGGAAGCAGGAACUAUUUCUGUCAGAGUAUAUUAUAAUAUCUUUAUCAAGAACAAGUCAGUUCUCUGUUUUGCCCUGCGAGGUGGGACAGAGAGCCCGUAUAUACGAAAAUUGCAUUUACCACUUAUUGCUUAGCUAAUAAAAAAUACAUAGCAUACAAUCGGUGACUCAUUGUCAUAUUUAUCCUGAUACCAGAUUUGAAUUGACGCAACCCUGACAAUGAGUUACAUGAAACAUUGAGGAAAUUUAAAAUGAAUAAUUUAAGAGGGUACAAUGGUAUUGUCAGAAUUAUUAGGUUUUGUUUGUAGUAAACGUUUGGGUUUGAGGGGAUUUCAUUAGUACAGCCCAGCGACAAGAUAUCUUAAAGGGAUACACUCACAUAUAGAAUAUUAGAAGUUUUGUUUUCUGAGUUUUUCACUAAACACGUGAACUCUUUAGAUAAAGGGUUCUUUAAUAUGUCUAAUAUAGUAUGGAACAUGACUGUAAAAGGGUGGUGUAACCUUUGACUUCUAUCAUGGCUUUCUCUUGUGGUCUAAUCAGCCACAGGGGAGGGCCAUUUGGAUAAUGAAUUUGUGGUCAUUUGGGAUACUGGUUUUAAAAGUAAAUUAAUUGUAAUGGAGUUUAUAGCUCUUAGACAUAAUUAUAGUUUGAACCACAGAGGAGAAAGUGGAAUUAAGGCAGGGUAAAUUAUGGGGAGUGGGGGAAUAAACUCUAGUGAGGAAGAGGUUCAGGAUUCUGUUUUAAACAUUGGCUGUGAAGGUUUCGAUUUGGCUACUAUUGACUUAGUAUUACAACAGGAACAGAAAUCUGUCACGACUUCUGCCGAAGUCGUUGCCUCUCCUUGUUCGGGCGGUGCUCGGCGGUCGACGUCACUGGCCUUCUAGCCAUCAUUGAUCAAUUUUUCAUUUUCCAUUGGUUUUGUCUUGUCUUCCCACACACCUGUUUUCAAUCCCAUUCAAUACCUGUUGUGUAUUUAACCCUCUGUUUCCUCUCAUGUCUUUGUCAGAGAUUGUUUUAUUGUCAAGUGUUGUUUUAUGUUGUAUAGGUGCGUGACGGGUCCUCGUACCCAUGUUCGUUUAUGUAUGUACGUAUUUAGUGUUUGGAGCAUGUUAAGUGGACUUAUAUUAACCUCUCUGCGCACGGAACGCGCUAGCGGGCUGAAAUUCCACAACAUAAGGUGAUCGCUACAUAAAUAGUCAUAUUAAACAUUCAUGAAAAUACAAGUGUCUCACGUGUUGAAAGCUUAGAAUCUUGCUAAUCCAACUGCGUUUUCAGAUUUAAAAAAGGAUUUACUGUGAAAGAAUACGAUGCAAUUAUCUGAGCAUAGAGCCCCAUAAAAAACAACAAUUUUAACCAGCACAGGCGUAACAUAAUCACAAAAUGCAUUAAAAUAAAUUGUUUACAUUUGACGAUCUUCGUCUGUUUGCAAUUCCAAUGCUCCUUGUUACAAAUGAAUGUUCUUUUGUUUGAUAAAAUCCGUUUUUAUAGCCUAACACAAAACAUUUUGUGAACCGCUUGUGUCAUGAAUUCCGUAUCAUUCCAUUUUCGACGACACAUUCCAGGACCUGAGCCCAAGGACCAUGCGUCAGGACUACCUGGCAUGAUGACUCCUUGCUGUCCCCAGUCCACCUGGCCUUGCUGCUGUUCCAGUUUCAACUGUUCUGCCUGCAGCUAUGGAACCCUAAACUGUUCAUUUUUACUCUUGAGGUGCUGUCCUGUUGCACCCUCUACAACCACUGUGAUCUCCACCCGGCACAGCCAGAAGAGGACUGGCC